CCCUCUCCUCCUUCUGGGUGGGGGCAGAGGGUGCAUCAGCCCCAGAGCCCUGGCUCCCGUGCCCUCAGCAGGUCCCCAGCGCCAGGACACAGGCAGGGUAGGCCGGACCACUCACCGCUUUCUGUGAGGGGAGAGAACAGAGGCCAGCUAGACUGCAGCCAGGCCCUCGUGGUCCCCAGCAGCUCAGCGGGCUCUGUUAGGGGGUUCUGGGGAGGUUUGCACUUUAUUACUAUUUCCUUUAGCUUGUGGUUAAGAGCCCAGGCUCUGGAGCCAGACAGCCUGGGUUCAAAUCCUGGUUCCACCACUAACUGUCAAGUUCGUCAAGUUUUAACCCUGCUGUGACUCAGUUUUUCCAUCCGAGAAGUGGGUAGGGUCGGGUGGAUCCCUGGGACAACCUUAUUUAGUUUAUACAUUUAACAAACACUCAUAGGAAGUCUACUGAUGUGCCCAGUAUGGUUCUAAGCACUUUGCAGAUAUUAACUCAUUUGAUCCUCCUCUCCGUACCUGCUGAGGGGGUUGUCCCAUUUUACAGAUGAAGCAGCUGAGGUUCAGAGAGGUUAAGUACCUUGGCCAAGUCCACAUAGCUAGUAAGAGGUGGACGCUGCCCAGCCUCCUGUGAGAUCCAGAGCCUUUAGAAAGACCUUCCUCCACGUGGACGCACCCUCAGGGCGAACUGAGGCUUUGGGGCAAGCUGGCUGCCAUGUCAUAAGAAGAGCCGAGCAGCCCUGUGAAGAGGCCUCCAGCCAGCGAGCACGGCAGCGAGCCACGUGAGCAGCAGCUCCUCAAUUUCCGGUCAAGCUCUCGGGAUGACUGCCGCCCCAGCUGCCAUCUUGACUGCAGCCUCAUGGGAGACCCUGAGCUAGGCUGCUCCUAGAUUUCUGACCCACAGAAAGUAGGAAAAUAAACGUUUGUUGUUUGAAGGCACUACA
Equus caballus (horse) is the source of this 929-nucleotide long non-coding RNA. RefSeq lists it as uncharacterized. The record is from RefSeq and is a predicted model, not a curated record. Lineage: Eukaryota; Metazoa; Chordata; Mammalia; Perissodactyla; Equidae.